RNAcentral lists this ribosomal RNA (253 nucleotides) under uncultured bacterium. RNAcentral describes it as "partial 16S ribosomal RNA". It matches the Rfam family "Bacterial small subunit ribosomal RNA", at positions 524 to 776 of the family's 1533-position model. The record is from RNAcentral.
UACGUAUGGAGCAAGCGUUAUCCGGAUUUACUGGGUGUAAAGGGAGCGUAGGCGGCUCUGUAAGUCUGAUGUGAAAAUUUGGGGCUCAACCCCAAACGUGCAUUGGAAACUGCAGGGCUUGAGUGCCGGAGAGGCAGGCGGAAUUCCUAGUGUAGCGGUGAAAUGCGUAGAUAUUAGGAGGAACACCAGUGGCGAAGGCGGCCUGCUGGACGGUAACUGACGCUGAGGUUCGAAAGCGUGGGGAGCAAACAGG